GGGCCCCCAACUAACCAAGAAGGUGUAGAGCUACGAACCCUUACUUCCUAUGAUGCAACUCCGAGAUUAAUUCUCGUCUUAAUCAACUAUCAACAAACUGUCCUGAGCCUGAAAAAUGGAUAGGAAGAGGGGUGAGAUUAAAUAAUCCCAGUGAGUAAACAAUUACCAUCAAAAGCAUCUAAAGCCGAGUAGAUGGAGACAAUAUAAAAACGUUAUAUCUCAAUAAUGUUCAUAACACAAAAUUCGUUUCAAUCUAUACCAAACAAUUUCUUUUCAUCAAAAUUUCUCGGCUUAUGAAUUUCUUAAACUUGGCCCCUGCCAAAAUCAUUCUCGCGGGUACCUUCGUCAAGGUAUCCCACUGAGACCGCCAAGGCUGUUCAAUGACCCAUACCCAUAAACAUGUUUUCACAUCUGACACACAGCCGUUCCUUGGCGUUGGCUGAGUCUCACUCUCACGUGGUGGCCCGAACGUGAGGUGCACUCAAAUCAUACCUCAGGAGAUACUUCACCCAACAUCUCCCCCCGGAGGUAAGUAUAUAAUUGAGUUACCGUGCCCCUCUCAUAGGCAGUCCACGGAAACCCCCACCACUGCAGUGACCGUUUAAUAUACCACCAGACCCAUAAAAAUUCCAGUAGCAUAAUAUGGCGAAUAAAAUGUAAUCCAGUCUACCGAGACCAAUCCAAAACUGUUCAUAUAUUUCAUGCCAACCCCAAAAAUUUAGCCAUCAUGCUACCAUAGUGUCAUAAGCCACAAUUUCAAUAACAUAUAAAAUCAUAAAUUUCAACACAGUCUCCAUAUACUCAAUUUUCCCAAAACAAUAUUUGAUUUCAAAACCAGUAUAAAUCUCAUUUUUAUUAAAAAACAUUUUAAUUGGAAAACAUAAUAUUUUAUAAUUUAAACUCACCAUUCAAUAAAAGCAUCAAACAAGUAUAAUUACUCUAGAUAUUUAAGACGAUAAAUUGUCCACUCACAGUUCUAGGAGUCGAUGUACUCCUAAUCCCAGUCUUCAAGCACAAUUUCUGUACUUUUACCAGUGUAAUUUGCUCACCACCUAUCCACAAUGUACAAUAC
RNAcentral lists this long non-coding RNA (1072 nucleotides) under Theobroma cacao (cacao). RNAcentral describes it as "long non-coding RNA (TCAC_LNC006267)". The record is from RNAcentral. Lineage: Eukaryota; Viridiplantae; Streptophyta; Magnoliopsida; Malvales; Malvaceae.